CGCGGGGUGGAGCAGCCUGGUAGCUCGUCGGGCUCAUAACCCGAAGGUCGUCGGUUCAAAUCCGGCCCCUCGCAACCA
Molecule: transfer RNA, 78 nt
Filed under: Escherichia coli
Lineage: Bacteria; Pseudomonadati; Pseudomonadota; Gammaproteobacteria; Enterobacterales; Enterobacteriaceae
Description: tRNA-Met
Rfam family: tRNA
About the family: Transfer RNA (tRNA) molecules are approximately 80 nucleotides in length. Their secondary structure includes four short double-helical elements and three loops (D, anti-codon, and T loops). Further hydrogen bonds mediate the characteristic L-shaped molecular structure. tRNAs have two regions of fundamental functional importance: the anti-codon, which is responsible for specific mRNA codon recognition, and the 3' end, to which the tRNAs corresponding amino acid is attached (by aminoacyl-tRNA synthetases). tRNAs cope with the degeneracy of the genetic code in two manners: having more than one tRNA (with a specific anti-codon) for a particular amino acid; and 'wobble' base-pairing, i.e. permitting non-standard base-pairing at the 3rd anti-codon position.
Source: RNAcentral